This 328-nucleotide unclassified non-coding RNA is filed under the name soil metagenome. RNAcentral describes it as "partial contains 5.8S ribosomal RNA, internal transcribed spacer 2, and large subunit ribosomal RNA". The stretch from base 1 to 120 matches the Rfam family "5.8S ribosomal RNA", at positions 35 to 154 of the family's 154-position model. The record is from RNAcentral.
GAUGAAGAACGCAGCGAAACGCGAUAGGUAAUGUGAAUUGCAGAAUUCCGUGAAUCAUCGAAUCUUUGAACGCACAUUGCGCCCCUUGGUAUUCCGAGGGGCAUGCCUGUUCGAGCGUCAUUUAAACCAAUCUAGCUUGCUAGGUCUUGGGCUUUCGCCUCUGGGCGGGCCUCAAAAUCAGUGGCGGUGCUGCCGGGCUUUAAGCGUAGUAAUCUUUCUCGCUAUAGGGUCCUGGUAGAGGCUUGCCAACAACUAUAAAUCUUUCAAAGGUUGACCUCGGAUCAGGUAGGGAUACCCGCUGAACUUAAGCAUAUCAAUAAGCGGAGGA